Molecule: ribosomal RNA, 482 nt
Filed under: uncultured bacterium
Lineage: Bacteria
Description: partial 16S ribosomal RNA
Rfam family: Bacterial small subunit ribosomal RNA
Source: RNAcentral
AUUGAACGCUGGCGGCAUGCCUUACACAUGCAAGUCGAACGGUAACGGGCCUUCGGGUGCCGACGAGUGGCGAACGGGUGAGUAAUACAUCGGAACGUGCCCGAUCGUGGGGGAUAACGAGGCGAAAGCUUUGCUAAUACCGCAUACGAUCUACGGAUGAAAGCAGGGGACCGCAAGGCCUUGCGCGGACGGAGCGGCCGAUGGCAGAUUAGGUAGUUGGUGGGAUAAAAGCUUACCAAGCCGACAAUCUGUAGCUGGUCUGAGAGGAUGAUCAGCCACACUGGGACUGAGACACGGCCCAGACUCCUACGGGAGGCAGCAGUGGGGAAUUUUGGACAAUGGGCGCAAGCCUGAUCCAGCCAUGCCGCGUGCAGGAUGAAGGCCUUCGGGUUGUAAACUGCUUUUGUACGGAACGAAAAGCCUUCUUUUAAUACAGGAGGGUCAUGACGGUACCGUAAGAAUAAGCACCGGCUAACUACGUG